This 950-nucleotide ribosomal RNA is filed under the name uncultured archaeon. RNAcentral describes it as "bacterial SSU rRNA". It matches the Rfam family "Archaeal small subunit ribosomal RNA", at positions 1 to 941 of the family's 1478-position model. The record is from RNAcentral.
UUCCGGUUGAUCCCGCCGGACCCGACUGCUAUUUGGGUGAGAAUAAGCCAUGCGAGUUGAAUGGGAUACCUAAAGUUCCCAUAGCAAACUGCUCAGUAACACAUGAUCAACUUACCCUAUAGAGAAAAAUAACCUCGGGAAACUGAGGAUAAUGUUUCAUAAUUGAAUUGGCUUGGAAAAGUUUUUCAAUGAAAAGGAUAAAAAAAAUGGUUUUUAUCUGCUAUGGGAUAGGAUCGUGUUCGAUUAUGGUUGUUGGUGAGAUAAUGGCUCACCAAGCCGAUAAUCGAUAGGGGCCGUGAGAGCGGGAGCCCCGAGAUGGGUACUGAGACAACGACCCAGGCCUUACGAGGCGCAGCAGGCGCGGAACCUCCGCAAUACACGAAAGUGUGACGGGGUUACCCAAAGUGUUCAAUAGAACUGUGGUAGGUGAGUAAUGUUCCCUACUAGAAAGGAGAGGGCAAGGCUGGUGCCAGCCGCCGCGGUAAAACCAGCUCUUCAAGUGGUCGGGAUAAUUAUUGGGCUUAAAGUGUCCGUAGCCGGUUUAGUAAGUUCCUGGUAAAAUCGGGUAGCUUAACUAUCUGCAUGCUAGGAAUACUGCUAUACUAGAGGGCGGGAGAGGUCUGAGGUACUACAGGGGUAGGGGUGAAAUCUUAUAAUCCUUGUAGGACCACCAGUGGCGAAGGCGUCAGACUGGAACGCGCCUGACGGUGAGGGACGAAAGCCAGGGGAGCGAACCGGAUUAGAUACCCGGGUAGUCCUGGCCGUAAACGAUGCAUACUAGGUGAUGGUACGGCCAUGAGCCGUAUCAGUGCCGUAGGGAAACCGUUAAGUGUGCCGCCUGGGAAGUACGGUCGCAAGGCUAAAACUUAAAGGAAUUGGCGGGGGAGCACCACAAGGGGUGAAGCCUGCGGUUCAAUUGGAGUCAACGCCGGGAAUCACUAGUGCGGCCG